GACGAACGCUGGCGGCGUGCUUAACACAUGCCAGUCGAACGGAAAGGCCCUGCUUUUGUGGGGUGCUCGAGUGGCGAACGGGUGAGUAACACGUGAGUAACCUGCCCUUGACUUUGGGAUAACUUCAGGAAACUGGGGCUAAUACCGGAUAGGAGCUCCUGCGGCAUGGUGGGGGUUGGAAAGUUUCGGCGGUUGGGGAUGGACUCGCGGCUUAUCAGCUUGUUGGUGGGGUAGUGGCUUACCAAGGCUUUGACGGGUAGCCGGCCUGAGAGGGUGACCGGCCACAUUGGGACUGAGAUACGGCCCAGACUCCUACGGGAGGCAGCAGUGGGGAAUAUUGCACAAUGGGCGGAAGCCUGAUGCAGCAACGCCGCGUGCGGGAUGACGGCCUUCGGGUUGUAAACCGCUUUCGCCUGUGACGAAGCGUGAGUGACGGUAAUGGGUAAAGAAGCACCGGCUAACUACGUG
This 468-nucleotide ribosomal RNA is filed under the name uncultured bacterium. RNAcentral's name for it is "partial 16S ribosomal RNA". It matches the Rfam family "Bacterial small subunit ribosomal RNA", at positions 28 to 507 of the family's 1533-position model. The record is from RNAcentral.